This 73-nucleotide transfer RNA is filed under the name Ovis aries (sheep). It matches the Rfam family "tRNA". From Rfam's summary of the family: Transfer RNA (tRNA) molecules are approximately 80 nucleotides in length. Lineage: Eukaryota; Metazoa; Chordata; Mammalia; Artiodactyla; Bovidae. The record is from Rfam by way of RNAcentral.
UCCCUGGUGGUCCAGUGGCUAACAAUCUGCACUCCCAAUGCAGGGGAUCCAGGUUCAAUCCCUGGCCAGGGAA